AACGCGAAGAACCUUACCUGGGCUCGAAAUGUAGAGGACGAUAUCAGAGAUGAUAUUUCUCGAAAGAGUCUCUAUAUAGGUGCUGCAUGGCUGUCGUCAGCUCGUGCCGUGAGGUGUUUGGUUAAGUCCAGCAACGAGCGCAACCCUUAUCGUUAGUUGCCAGCGCGUAAUGGCGGGAACUCUAACGAGACUGCCUGGGUUAACCAGGAGGAAGGUGAGGAUGACGUCAAGUCCGCAUGGCCUUUAUGUCCAGGGCUACACACGUGCUACAAUGGUCGGUACAGAAGGCAGCAAGACCGCAAGGUGGAGCAAAUCCCCAAAAACCGAUCUCAGUUCAGAUUGUAGACUGCAACUCGUCUACAUGAAGUUGGAAUUGCUAGUAAUGGCGUGUCAGCAACAACGCCGUGAAUACGUUCCCGGGCCUUGUA
RNAcentral lists this ribosomal RNA (428 nucleotides) under uncultured Chlamydiae bacterium. RNAcentral's name for it is "bacterial SSU rRNA". It matches the Rfam family "Bacterial small subunit ribosomal RNA", at positions 958 to 1385 of the family's 1533-position model. Lineage: Bacteria; Pseudomonadati; Chlamydiota; Chlamydiia. The record is from RNAcentral.